AGAGCGGACGCUGGCGGCAGGCUUAACACAUGCAAGUCGAGCGGGCGUAGCAAUACGUCAGCGGCAGACGGGUGAGUAACGCGUGGGAACGUACCUUUUGGUUCGGAACAACCCAGGGAAACUUGGGCUAAUACCGGAUAAGCCCUUACGGGGAAAGAUUUAUCGCCGAAAGAUCGGCCCGCGUCUGAUUAGCUAGUUGGUGAGGUAAUGGCUCACCAAGGCGACGAUCAGUAGCUGGUCUGAGAGGAUGAUCAGCCACAUUGGGACUGAGACACGGCCCAAACUCCUACGGGAGGCAGCAGUGGGGAAUAUUGGACAAUGGGCGCAAGCCUGAUCCAGCCAUGCCGCGUGAGUGAUGAAGGCCCUAGGGUUGUAAAGCUCUUUUGUGCGGGAAGAUAAUGACGGUACCGCAAGAAUAAGCCCCGGCUAACUUCGCGCCAGCAGCCGC
This 448-nucleotide ribosomal RNA is filed under the name uncultured bacterium. RNAcentral's name for it is "SSU rRNA". It matches the Rfam family "Bacterial small subunit ribosomal RNA", at positions 26 to 518 of the family's 1533-position model. The record is from RNAcentral.